UAUUGUUAGCGUGCCUCAGCUCGUCCACUACGCAGCGAUAUCAAUGAUGGGAGUAAUGUCGUCGACGCAGCACCGGCAACUUGGAGAGCGUCGUACCAUUGAAAAGUGGUGAGACCGUGACCCUAUAGCAGUGUCAACAUAAUGGCAGGGAAAUGCAGGGAUCCCGCAGCCAUGGCUACAGCAGCACAGGGUGUAAUCUGGAUGUCAUGUCAGCACCCGGAUGCGUCACAUCAUAUGCCUACGGUGAAAUACGAGGGAACUAGCCUGCUGCAAGCAAGAGCCCUCCAUGUACAGC
This is a long non-coding RNA of Dermacentor silvarum, 295 nucleotides long. RefSeq lists it as uncharacterized. The transcript has 3 exons. NCBI's taxonomy places the organism in Eukaryota, Metazoa, Arthropoda, Arachnida, Ixodida, Ixodidae. The record is from RefSeq and is a predicted model, not a curated record.